Molecule: ribosomal RNA, 464 nt
Filed under: uncultured bacterium
Lineage: Bacteria
Description: bacterial SSU rRNA
Rfam family: Bacterial small subunit ribosomal RNA
Source: RNAcentral
AGAGUUUGAUCCUGGCUCAGGAUGAACGCUGGCGGUAUGCCUAAUACAUGCAAGUCGUGCGGAAAGGCCUCUUCGGAGGUACUCGAGCGGCGGACGGCAGAGUAACGCGUAGGAACAUACCCCAAACUGAGGGAUAACUGCUCGAAAGAGUAGCUAAUACCGCAUGUGGUCUUCGGACUAAAGCUUCGGCGGUUUGGGAAUGGCCUGCGUUCGAUUAGCUAGUUGGUGAGGUAAAUUGCUCACCAAGGCGACGAUCGAUAGCUGGUCUGAGAGGAUGAUCAGCCUGACUGGAACUGAGACACGGUCCAGACUCCUACGGGAGGCAGCAGUAGGGAAUUUUCCACAAUGGGCGAAAGCCUGAUGGAGCAAUACCGCGUGCAGGAUGAAGGCCUUCGGGUCGUAAACUGCUUUUAUGUGAGAAGAAUUUGACGGUAACACGUGAAUAAGGGUCGGCUAACUACGUG